This 496-nucleotide ribosomal RNA is filed under the name uncultured bacterium. RNAcentral describes it as "partial 16S ribosomal RNA". It matches the Rfam family "Bacterial small subunit ribosomal RNA", at positions 29 to 507 of the family's 1533-position model. The record is from RNAcentral.
AUGAACGCUGGCGGCGUGCCUAAUGCAUGCAAGUCGAGCGAACGGACGAGAAGCUUGCUUCUCUGAUGUUAGCGGCGGACGGGUGAGUAACACGUGGAUAACCUACCUAUAAGACUGGGAUAACUUCGGGAAACCGGAGCUAAUACCGGAUGAUAUUUUGAACCGCAUGGUUCAAAAGUGAAAGACGGUCUUGCUGUCACUUAUAGAUGGAUCCGCGCUGCAUUAGCUAGUUGGUAAGGUAACGGCUUACCAAGGCAACGAUGCAUAGCCGACCUGAGAGGGUGAUCGGCCACACUGGAACUGAGACACGGUCCAGACUCCUACGGGAGGCAGCAGUAGGGAAUCUUCCGCAAUGGGCGAAAGCCUGACGGAGCAACGCCGCGUGAGUGAUGAAGGUCUUCGGAUCGUAAAACUCUGUUAUUAGGGAAGAACAUAUGUGUAAGUAACUGUGCACAUCUUGACGGUACCUAAUCAGAAAGCCACGGCUAACUACGUG